CACAAAGGACUUAAAAGCCAUUAUUUGACAUUGAGUUCCUCCAGAAGAGAACUUCUAAAUAUGCCAAGACUGAACAUUAUACAAACCUGAUGUUCUAACUCAUGAGAUCAUUAUUGUAAGAUUGACAAGCUCUAUACUGCAGACUACCCAUCACACACAUGGUAUGAUGAAACACUUCCCUCCACAAUACAGGUUACACUGAAAAGUAUCUCAACACACACACACACACAAAGAGAGAGAGAGACAGAGAGAGAAAGAGAGAGAGAGAGAGAGAGAGAGAGA
This 282-nucleotide long non-coding RNA is filed under the name Amborella trichopoda. RNAcentral describes it as "long non-coding RNA (ATRI_LNC002241)". The record is from RNAcentral. Lineage: Eukaryota; Viridiplantae; Streptophyta; Magnoliopsida; Amborellales; Amborellaceae.